AAUCGAUUGCAAUAAUUUUUUUAAAAUUCCUGUCAAUGGCGUUAAAAUGUGAGAUGUUGCAUUAGAAAAUGACUAAAGCAUUUUUUUUUAAAAUUACAUUAUAAAAAAUUACUAUUACUUUGUUCUAAAGAAUAUAUUAGCGUUCAAAAAAAUAAAGCACUAAACAAGAUUCAAAUGGAUUUAUGGCGUAUUUACUAACUGGCAAUCUAAAUAAGAAUAAGAGAAUGAGAAUAGAUGGUGUGUUCAAUUACUUAUAUGAGAAAGAAAACUGAAAAUAGAUUAGCGAAUCUCACCAAAAAUUGGGAAUGAUCACGGGAGUUUCCAUUCUCAUAGAAGAGGUCGGGAUAAAAAUCUCAUUUCUUUGAUUAGUUAUAUUACCCCCACUAAAUUUAUAAAAUUUCCAUUUGGUUCUUUUUUAUAUAUUUAAAAAAAAUAUCAUUUUGUUGCCGUCGUUGCCACAGCUGCUUGCUACCAUUGUUGUCGAUGCUGCUUGGUGAUAUUGUUGUCUUUGUUGCUGCCAUUCACUGUUGGCCUGCGGUUUGCUAGGGUGGGUAAACGGUUCUAUGAGCAAAAACCGAAUGGUUUAAAAAGUACUGAACCGAUUGGUUUUUGUUUGGUUUGGUUUAAAACCGAACUGAACUGAAAAAUCGAUCGGUUCGGUUCAAUUUAAUUACAAAAUAUUUAAAGUGAAAUAUAUAAAUUUAAAAUCAAAUUUCAAUCACAAAAAAUCAAAACCCUAAAUUGGAAUUCACAAAUUCACGAUUGCAUCUAUACUGUUGCCCUUGCCUCUCUCCCUCGCGCCUCUCUCUCUCCUCAUGGCUCCCUUGCCUCACACCACGGUCAGCGCCUAGCACAGCCCCUCAGUAGUAGCACAACCCCUCCCCUCAAGCACAGUGACGCCGUCGUUAACCCUUGCACAUGGUCAUCUUGGUUGCUGCAGCUGCAGCCUGUGGGUGUCUUUUUUUCUUUUAAAUUUAUGCCAUGGCCCGUCUGUUUUUUUUUUUUUAAUUUUACUUAAUAACUUGAGUUUUUGGGUCAAUGGUAAUGGUGUUGGAUCAAUACCCAACAUCUCAUUCUGCCUCAAAUCUCAAUCAAUUUCAAAUCAUUUUCAUUUUAUUUUAUUCGGUUUGGGUCUCAUAACAUCGGAGUACUCGUUGCAAGUUAGGAGCUGGCUAAGUUAAAGCAUCUGUAAGGUACAUAUGUUGCUUCAGCUAACCCCCAACCUUGCAUUUGCAUUGCUUUUUCUCUGUAAGUCAGGACACGUGUGCUAUUAGCUUUGGGUGUGUAUGUUACAGAUGUUGUAACAUAGCAACAUCCUGCAAGUUAAUAUUAUAUGCAUGCUCUUAACUAAUUUUAGUUUCUUGUUAUUUUAAAAUCAUCAAAACGGAAAUGUUGUUACUGUAGUUAUACAAGUUAAAAUAAACUUAUAAUUAAACAGAAAUGUUGAAUAUUUGCUAAGCUGAAUAUUGUGAUUAAACAAAAAUGUUAAGAACCGAACCGAAAUAUUUCGGUUCGGUUCCUAAAUUCGGUUCGAAUUCGGUUCAUCUUCUAAAGAACCGAUUGGUUUUGGUUCAGUUCGGUUUAGGUCCCGAACCGACUAUUGCCCACCCCUAGUGAUGAUGAUGAUGAUUGUUAUUAUUAUUUGUUGUCGUUGAUGAUGAAUAAUAGUAGUACUUAUUGUUAUUCUUACUAUUGUUUGAUGUUGUUGUUGUUUUAUUCUUAUUAUUAACAAUUAGUUUUUUUUAAUAAUAAUAAUCAUAAU
Molecule: long non-coding RNA, 1762 nt
Filed under: Citrus x clementina
Lineage: Eukaryota; Viridiplantae; Streptophyta; Magnoliopsida; Sapindales; Rutaceae
Description: Citrus clementina (C. clementina) long non-coding RNA (CCLE_LNC003631)
Source: RNAcentral